UACGUAGGCAGCGAGCGUUGUUCGGAAUUACUGGGCGUAAAGAGUGUGUAGGCGGUGCUCUAAGUUCGGUGUGAAAUCUCCCGCUUAACUGGGAGGGUGCGCCGGAAACUGGAGUGCUCGAGCGUGGGAGAGGAAAGCGGAAUUCCUGGUGUAGCGGUGAAAUGCGUAGAUAUCAGGAGGAACACCUGCGGUGUAGACGGCUUCUGGACCAUUGCUGACGCUGAGACACGAAAGCGUGGGUAGCAAACAGG
This 251-nucleotide ribosomal RNA is filed under the name uncultured bacterium. RNAcentral's name for it is "partial 16S ribosomal RNA". It matches the Rfam family "Bacterial small subunit ribosomal RNA", at positions 524 to 776 of the family's 1533-position model. The record is from RNAcentral.